RNAcentral lists this ribosomal RNA (497 nucleotides) under uncultured bacterium. Its description in RNAcentral is "partial 16S ribosomal RNA". It matches the Rfam family "Bacterial small subunit ribosomal RNA", at positions 28 to 523 of the family's 1533-position model. The record is from RNAcentral.
GAUGAACGCUGGCGGCGUGCCUAAUACAUGCAAGUCGAGCGAACUGAUUAGAAGCUUGCUUCUAUGACGUGAGCGGCGAACGGGUGAGUAACACGUAGGUGAUCUGCCCAUCAGACGGGGACAACGAUUGGAAACGAUCGCUAAUACCGGAUAGGACGAAAGUUUAAAGGUGCUUCUGGCACCGCUGAUGGAUGAGCCUGCGGCGCAUUAGCUAGUUGGUAGGGUAAAGGCCUACCAAGGCGACGAUGCGUAGCCGACCUGAGAGGGUGAACGGCCACACUGGGACUGAGAUACGGCCCAGACUCCUACGGGAGGCAGCAGUAGGGAAUCUUCGGCAAUGGGCGAAAGCCUGACCGAGCAACGCCGCGUGAAUGAUGAAGGCCUUCGGGUUGUAAAAUUCUGUUAUAAGGGAAGAACGACUUUAGUAGGAAAUGGCUAGAGUGUGACGGUACCUUAUGAGAAAGCCACGGCUAACUACGUGCCAGCAGCCGCGGUAA